RNAcentral lists this ribosomal RNA (404 nucleotides) under uncultured Acetobacterium sp. RNAcentral describes it as "bacterial SSU rRNA". It matches the Rfam family "Bacterial small subunit ribosomal RNA", at positions 356 to 774 of the family's 1533-position model. The record is from RNAcentral. Lineage: Bacteria; Bacillati; Bacillota; Clostridia; Eubacteriales; Eubacteriaceae.
GGGGAAUAUUGCGCAAUGGGGGAAACCCUGACGCGGCAAAACCGGGUGAGGGAGGAAGGUUUUGGGAUGGAAAAGCACUGUAAUGGGGGAGAAAAAAAGACGGGUACCAAAGAAAAAGGCCCGGGUUACCUCCGGGCCAGCAGCCGCGGUAAUACGUAGGGGACAAGCGUUGUCCGGAUUUACUGGGCGUAAAGGGCACGCAGGCGGUUUUUUAAGUCAGAUGUGAAAGGGUACCGGCUCAACCGGUGACAUGCAUUUGAAACUGAAAGACUUGAGUAUUGGAGAGGCAAGUGGAAUUCCUAGUGUAGCGGUGAAAUGCGUAGAUAUUAGGAGGAACACCGGUGGCGAAGGCGGCUUGCUGGACAAAUACUGACGCUGAGGUGCGAAAGCGUGGGGAGCAAACA